GAUGAAGAACGUAGCGAAAUGCGAUAAGUAGUGUGAAUUGCAGAAUUCAGUGAAUCAUCGAAUCUUUGAACGCACAUUGCGACCCUUGGUAUCCCGAGGGGCAUGCCUGUUCGAGCGUCAUUUCACCACUCAAGCCUGGCUUGGUGUUGGGCGACGUCCUCUUUGGGGACGCGCCUCGAAACGCUCGGCGGCGUGGCACCGGCUUUAAGCGUAGCAGAAUCUUUCGCUUUGGAAGUCGGGGCCCCGUCUGCCGGAAGACCUGCUCGCAAGGUUGACCUCGGAUCAGGCAGGGAUACCCGCUGAACUUAAGCAUAUCAAUAAGCGGAGGA
Molecule: unclassified non-coding RNA, 329 nt
Filed under: soil metagenome
Description: partial contains 5.8S ribosomal RNA, internal transcribed spacer 2, and large subunit ribosomal RNA
Rfam family: 5.8S ribosomal RNA (bases 1-120)
Source: RNAcentral